Molecule: long non-coding RNA, 2562 nt
Organism: Prionailurus viverrinus (fishing cat)
Lineage: Eukaryota; Metazoa; Chordata; Mammalia; Carnivora; Felidae
Exons: 4
Source: RefSeq, a predicted model, not a curated record
GCACCCCCGGCACAAGGCCUGGGACACAGAAUGUGUGCAGUGAACACAGAUACGAGCAUGGGGGGUCCCCGUGCCUCCCAGGUGCUGUGGACACGCCCACACGGUGGCCCCCCGAGAAGCUCUGUCCGGGGACCGUGGCUGAGGAGCGAGCCCGGGAGUCAGGAGCGAUCCAGGAAUUCCUGGUGGGGUCACGGGGACCCUGGAGGCUGCAAUCAGCCUACCUCGGUCCCCCCACCACCCCGGCCCGGGUUCCCCUCUCCACCCCUUCUGGUCCCCCCUCCACCUCUCUGGUCCCCCGCUCCGGUCCCCCUGCCACCCCCUCUGGUCCUCUCCCCCCCACACUGGUAACCCUCAGGCUCUCUGGUCCCCCCUCCACCCCCAGCCCCGUCCCUGCUCCGUCCCCAUCCCAUGCCCCACACCUGCCCCCCCCCCCCCCCCCGUUUGUCCUGCUUCCUCAGGAUACACAGGAAGGUGACUCAUUGCUGGUGGGGCUGUUUGCUAGCGAGCCUCCCGUUCUGCGCAGCUGCCCCACCUGGGGACCUGCCGCGCCGACCCCGGGCCCCUUCGACUGUCAGGAUUCUGUGCGGCGGGGGUCUGGGAGGGGCUCGCUUCCCGGCAGGUUAAUGGAAGAAUCCGAGCAUGUGAACGAGGGACCGGAAAGGCGUCUUGGCCACGCCGUGACCCUGUGUCCUCAACCCUCUGUGCCGCUCCCAGCACCAGUCACACACCCCUGCUCACGCGCCCGGAGACCAGGGGAAAUUGGCCGAGCUCAUCGGGGAGGCCUCCAACAGGAAUCCCUCGCGGAGGUGUGACUUUGGGUGUGUCCAGGGCCUGCUGGGAGUUAGGGGCCCCCUGGCUGCAUCCCGGCUCUGCGGGGGGAGCACCUGGCAAAGGGCAGGACCUGACCUCUGACCUGGGAGCCCCCCGGGGGCCAUGGCGGUCUCUGGCCCAGCUUUGCACGGGCCCCUCCAGGGUGAGGGCGGACCCCCUGUCCCCCCCUCUCCACCGGACAGCGCUCCCCUCCGGGGCCUGAGCUGCCCUCCGGGCAGGGCGCGUGUGCCCUCUGCAGGCUCAGACCCCGGGGCAGCCUCCUGCAGCCCGAGCCUGGUCGUAGUCACGGUGCACAGCAGGUAAGGCGAGCGUGUCCACGAGUGUGUCCACGCACACAAACCCGCCGCCUCUUGCCCCCGCCUUCCCCGUUCCGCAACCCCGCCCCCCCCCCCCCCCCCCCCCGGGCUCUGUGCCUCAGCCGACCUUGCUUUGGGCUGUGUCGGGGGCUCUCUUCCUCCUGCGACCUGCCCCACCUGUCCAGCUGCUCAGGCCGGACACCCGGGGUCUUCUUGGCCGACCCCCACGCGUCCCCGCCUGCACCGUCCAGACACGGCUCCUGCCUGUCUCCUCCGCCUCCCCCCGCAGCCGGGGCCACCCCUCUCCCGCACACGCGGCACCUCCCCGCGUCUGUCCCGUCCCUGCAGGCCACCUCCACAGGCCACCCAAGGGGCCGCGCCAGCCCUCCCCUCCGCUCGGACCCAACGAGACUUCGCGGCCAGCGCCCUGACCCUGUAGCCCUGACGUCCGAGCCCCCGAGGCCGCCCUUGAUCCUGCCCGCCACCUCUCUGUCCCCUUGCUGCUGUCCUUCAGGGAGUCGGGCGUCAGAGGCCGGUCUCUGCCUCCUCGUGGGAACACCUUCUGGAGUGCAUGCUGUUUUGGGGUUCAUUCAGGGUGACGAGCGUGUUAUUUUGCUGCAUGAGAAUCACCGCCUCACCUACUGAGGGGAGCCGAAAGCCCCGGUCCCGGCCGUCCUGGCUGACGGAGCCAGGAGGCUCAUCCUCAGGGCUCCGCUCUUCAGGGGCAGGUGGCACGCACCCAGCGUUUCCAGGAACUCGAACCUGGAGGUGGACGAGGCAUUUUCCGGGCACCCUCUACCCUCUUGCCGGCAUGGGGACUCCUCCAUUGACCCUCCAGCGUGAAAGCGGUUCUGACUUGUUCAUCCAGACCCACAGAUUCCAGGGGCUCUGAGAAGGGGGCAGAGGGAUGCUGACCUCCUACCCCAGAGCCUAAGACAAAAUCAGACCCACACCAGGCCACGCAGGGCUGUUUGGAGAAGGAUCCAGGUGUCUGCAUUUCCACUGCUGUAGAGGCGUCUGGGCUUCAGGCGAUCUACACCCACUUGCCUCUCAGCCAGGGGACAUCUCCUUCGAGGGUGCUAUGACUGGAUGGAUGGGUUCAGUCCAGCCCAUGAACCAGGGAAACUGGUGCCAGAUGGGGCCAAGGGAUGUCAUGAAGAAUUGGCCGAGGUAGGAGGAGGAUCCAAGUUUUCGGAAUCCCUGCCAAGUUCUUCUGCCACCUGCCCUUCCCUGGCCAUGGCACAGGCCUGCCUGUGUCCAGUUCUGGCCACAUGUUAGGACUAAACUCCUUUGGCCUUGUUCCCUAAAAUUAAGAGGGUGGCUGAUUCCCUAGGAGACCUUGGUGUGAAAUGUUGUCUCUUUGAUUCACCCAUCCAUCCAUCAUCCAUCCAUCCAUCCAUCCAUUCACCCAUCAAUCCAUUUGUCCAUCCAUCCA